This 497-nucleotide ribosomal RNA is filed under the name uncultured bacterium. Its description in RNAcentral is "partial 16S ribosomal RNA". It matches the Rfam family "Bacterial small subunit ribosomal RNA", at positions 28 to 507 of the family's 1533-position model. The record is from RNAcentral.
GAUGAACGCUGGCGGCGUGCCUAAUACAUGCAAGUAGAGCGAACAGACGAGGAGCUUGCUCCUCAGACGUUAGCGGCGGACGGGUGAGUAACACGUGGAUAACCUACCUAUAUGACUGGGAUAACUUCGGGAAACCGGAGCUAAUACCGGAUAAUAUAUUGAACUUCAUUGUUCAAUAGUGAAAGAUGGUUUUGUUGUCAUUCAUAGAUGGAUCCGCGCCGCAUUAGCUAGUUGGUAAGGUAACGGCUUACCAAGGCAACGAUGCGUAGCCGACCUGAGAGGGUGAUCGGCCACACUGGAACUGAGACACGGUCCAGACUCCUACGGGAGGCAGCAGUAGGGAAUCUUCCGCAAUGGGCAAAAUCCUGACGGAGCAACGCCGCGUGAGUAAUGAAGGUCUUCGGAUCGUAAACCUCUGUUAAUAGGGAAGAACAAUUGUGUAAGUAACUAUGCACGUCUUGACGGUACCUUAUCAGAAAGCCACGGCUAACUACGUG